RNAcentral lists this unclassified non-coding RNA (353 nucleotides) under soil metagenome. RNAcentral's name for it is "partial contains 5.8S ribosomal RNA, internal transcribed spacer 2, and large subunit ribosomal RNA". The stretch from base 1 to 120 matches the Rfam family "5.8S ribosomal RNA", at positions 35 to 154 of the family's 154-position model. The record is from RNAcentral.
GAUGAAGAACGUAGCGAAAUGCGAUAAGUAAUGUGAAUUGCAGAAUUCAGUGAAUCAUCGAAUCUUUGAACGCACAUUGCGCCCGCCAGUAUUCUGGCGGGCAUGCCUGUUCGAGCGUCAUUACAACCCUCAGGCCCCCGGGCCUGGCGUUGGGGAUCGGCGGAAGCCCCCUGCGGGCACAACGCCGUCCCCCAAAUACAGUGGCGGUCCCGCCGCAGCUUCCAUUGCGUAGUAGCUAACACCUCGCAACUGGAGAGCGGCGCGGCCACGCCGUAAAACACCCAACUUCUGAAUGUUGACCUCGAAUCAGGUAGGAAUACCCGCUGAACUUAAGCAUAUCAAUAAGCGGAGCA